AAGGGAGACCUAAUUCAGGUAGGAGACGAAAAAAAAGUAGUCCCAACCAAGAAUCAAUCCCAAAAGGUCGGAGCGAGGCGAAAUUGGCUUUCAAACUAGGUUCUGGGUUCACACAAGACCUGAAUUAGGAACAAGGGCUAUUAGCUCAGGUGGUUAGAGCGCACCCCUGAUAAGGGUGAGGUCCCUGGUUCGAGUCCAGGAUGGCCCACCUGCACAGGUGGCAAAAACAAGAGAAGCGAGGAAUCAGCACCUUAUCUUAUCUAUAUAUAUAUAGGAGAGAAUGCUGGCUCUGAGUAAAGAGUCCAGAGGAACCUUGAAAACUGCAUAGAGCUAGGUGAAAAAGCCAAAAAAGAAGACCGCAA
This 362-nucleotide transfer RNA is filed under the name uncultured Microcystis sp. Its description in RNAcentral is "partial 16S-23S ribosomal RNA intergenic spacer". The stretch from base 135 to 208 matches the Rfam family "tRNA". Lineage: Bacteria; Bacillati; Cyanobacteriota; Cyanophyceae; Chroococcales; Microcystaceae. The record is from RNAcentral.